GCGGGACGGUCUGUCGCUCGUGCGUCAUGGCACGGGAGGAAAGUCCGGGCAACGCAGGGAACCAUGCCGGUUAACGGCCGGUGGGCAGCAAUGUUCAGGCAGCGUAACAGAAAAUGACCGCCCGCAAGGGUAAGGGUGAAAAGGCGAGGUAAGAGCUCACCGCACACAUGGCAACAUGGCGUGGCUGUACGUCCCAUGGGUUGUAAGAUCAUGUAUAUCGGUUUACUGGAAGCAAUUCCGGUUGAAGGGUGUCCCGCCCGAUGCCGAGGGGUAGAUUGCUGGAGCCCAGUUGAGAGACUGGGUCGAGAUUGAUGACAGACGCCGCGCUCCGCGUGCGGUACAGAACCCGGCUCACAGGCCCGCUGU
RNAcentral lists this RNase P RNA (366 nucleotides) under bovine gut metagenome. RNAcentral's name for it is "Bacterial RNase P class A". It matches the Rfam family "Bacterial RNase P class A". From Rfam's summary of the family: Ribonuclease P (RNase P) is a ubiquitous endoribonuclease, found in archaea, bacteria and eukarya as well as chloroplasts and mitochondria. Its best characterised activity is the generation of mature 5'-ends of tRNAs by cleaving the 5'-leader elements of precursor-tRNAs. The record is from RNAcentral.